AGUGAACGCUGGCGGUAGGCCUAACACAUGCAAGUCGAACGGCAGCACAGUAAGAGCUUGCUCUUACGGGUGGCGAGUGGCGGACGGGUGAGGAAUACAUCGGAAUCUACUUUUUCGUGGGGGAUAACGUAGGGAAACUUACGCUAAUACCGCAUACGACCUACGGGUGAAAGCAGGGGAUCUUCGGACCUUGCGCGAUUGAAUUAGCCGAUGUCGGAUUAGCUAGUUGGCGGGGUAAAGGCCCACCAAGGCGACGAUCCGUAGCUGGUCUGUGAGGAUGAUCAGCCACACUGGAACUGAGACACGGUCCAGACUCCUACGGGAGGCAGCAGUGGGGAAUAUUGGACAAUGGGGGGAAGCCUGAUCCAGCCAUACCGCGUGGGUGAAGAAGGCCUUCGGGUUGUAAAGCCCUUUUGUUGGGAAAGAAAAGCAGCAGGUUAAUACCCCGCUGUUCUGACGGUACCCAAAGAAUAAGCACCGGCUAACUUCGUG
This 492-nucleotide ribosomal RNA is filed under the name uncultured bacterium. Its description in RNAcentral is "partial 16S ribosomal RNA". It matches the Rfam family "Bacterial small subunit ribosomal RNA", at positions 29 to 507 of the family's 1533-position model. The record is from RNAcentral.